This 97-nucleotide Y RNA is filed under the name Cavia aperea (Brazilian guinea pig). RNAcentral's name for it is "Y RNA (ENSCAPG00000005163.1)". It matches the Rfam family "Y RNA". From Rfam's summary of the family: Y RNAs are components of the Ro ribonucleoprotein particle (Ro RNP), in association with Ro60 and La proteins. Lineage: Eukaryota; Metazoa; Chordata; Mammalia; Rodentia; Caviidae. The record is from RNAcentral.
GGCUGGUCCGAUGGCAGUGGGUUAUCAGAACUUAUUAACAUUAGUGUCACUAAAGUUGGCAUACCACCCCCCCACUGCUAAAUUUGACUGGCUUUAA